This 157-nucleotide ribosomal RNA is filed under the name Aspergillus caninus. RNAcentral's name for it is "5.8S ribosomal RNA". It matches the Rfam family "5.8S ribosomal RNA". From Rfam's summary of the family: 5.8S ribosomal RNA (5.8S rRNA) is a component of the large subunit of the eukaryotic ribosome. It is transcribed by RNA polymerase I as part of the 45S precursor that also contains 18S and 28S rRNA. Functionally, it is thought that 5.8S rRNA may be involved in ribosome translocation. Lineage: Eukaryota; Fungi; Ascomycota; Eurotiomycetes; Eurotiales; Aspergillaceae. The record is from RNAcentral.
AAAACUUUCAACAACGGAUCUCUUGGUUCCGGCAUCGAUGAAGAACGCAGCGAACUGCGAUAAGUAGUGUGAAUUGCAGAAUUCAGUGAAUCAUCGAGUCUUUGAACGCACAUUGCGCCCCUUGGUAUUCCGAGGGGCAUGCCUGUCCGAGCGUCAU